Oncorhynchus kisutch (coho salmon) is the source of this 1677-nucleotide long non-coding RNA. RefSeq lists it as uncharacterized. Lineage: Eukaryota; Metazoa; Chordata; Actinopteri; Salmoniformes; Salmonidae. The record is from RefSeq and is a predicted model, not a curated record. The transcript is spliced from 5 exons.
GUGCACGGUAUGCUGGUAUGACCGCGUUUGUUUGACCCAUUUAUUGUAUUGUUCUGUUAAAGGUGGUUUUAUGUUGAUUAAACAACACCGUUGUUAGUCAGUUCUCGCUCUCCUGCACCGGACUUCUCUGCCGCCAGUACGCACCUCACUACACGUUUCUACUUUUACAGGAACAGCUAGCUUCCCAGUACAACUUCAGUGUUUACAAGCACAACCGCUACAGAUGGCAGAAGCGCAUUCUUCAGAUUGACUUCAACACCAAAAUGGUGUGCAGCAUAGAGAAAGGCACCGUAAAGCGACAGCUGCCCUUCAAUGUGUUAAGAGCUGCGAUGACAGAGUUGGGGCCAAGCUCUCCGUCUCUUUCAGAGGAAGACAUGACUAUGAGCUGGAGGCCACCUCACUGGAGGACAAACACAAGAUGAUGCAGCUUGUAAACAAGAUCGUCUAUAGAAACGUCUACAUCCAUCCAGUAGAGGGCAGUGAAGAGAAGUGUGAACGGCCUCCAGCACCAAUGACCCUCACUGAGGGCCUGUUGUUCCUGCAAAGAGGAGCCUUGGCAUCGUUUAAAUGGGUGAAGUACGAGGCUCGCCUUCACCCGGGCCAGCUGAACCUGCUCCCCAUCAGUCGACGGGCGGUAGAUGGGGAGCAGUCCUUGCCAUUUGUCAUUCAUUUCUCAGACGGGGACAACAGCUUAGAGAAGCAUAUAUAAAUGAAAAUCAGCGGCGAUGUAACUUUGUAACAAACUCUAUUCUGACAAAGGAUUCUUUCUGAAGAGUUGAGCAUUGCUGCUGCUGUCUGACUUUUCUUAUGACUGCAUGCCUUGUAUACCCUCUGUAAAACACUCCUAUUUGACAACAUACAAUGUCAUACAUCUAGAUGGGAAAUGUUUGCCCAGUGAUAGUCAUUGUUUGCUCACACAGCCAAAAGAGGAAGUUAAGACAAGUCAUACUGAUGUAUUGCAGGUUUCCGGGUACCUGUGAGAGACCAUUCUAAGAGCACAGAAGCCAUCCAGAGAGAGAGGGAUGCCUGGGUCCAGGCCAUAGAUAAGCUCUGCCUGGACUGGAAAUGAAAGUCUCAGUCUGAGCACAUCUAUGAGGAUCCUAGGGUUAUAGAUCUAAGAAUCUAUGAUAAUAUCAAAUACAUUAUAGAGGAGAGCAAAUCCACAGGCAGAGAAGGCUUCAGCGUAUCAGAUCCGGUGUUGGGUGCAGCAGAUCAGCUAUCAGGGGGAGGGAAGGUGCCAAGAAUUCAUACGACCUCUCCAGCAAAACCUGUCCCGAAAUCUCGCAGCCCUGUAAAGUCAUCCGUGAAUGUCCCUGUCCCUGGUUCUGUAGUUGUCCCUGGUCAUGUGCCUGUCCCUGGUCCUGCCCUUGUCUCUGUUCCCACCACCCUUGUGAUCCCAGCACCCUCCUUCAUCCCUAUGCCUCCUCCAUUGACCUUAAAUGAACCCAGUACAAAACCCUUAACAGAGCGAACCAGGGCUUUUCAUUGGGAGGAAGUUGGUUCAGAUAAGGUACUACUACGGAUGUGUUUGUUUAUCCCUAUUUAUUACACUACAUUUGUAAGCAUGUAAUAUAGUCAUGCAAAUUGACAAUGUUAUAUGCUAUUGCAUUAUGUUAUAUUUAAGCAAUAAUUCACGAGUGGUGUGGUAUAUGGUCAAUAUACUACUGCUAAGGGCUG